This 547-nucleotide ribosomal RNA is filed under the name unidentified archaeon. RNAcentral's name for it is "bacterial SSU rRNA". It matches the Rfam family "Archaeal small subunit ribosomal RNA", at positions 508 to 1054 of the family's 1478-position model. The record is from RNAcentral.
GUCUAAAGGGUCUGUAGCCGGCCGGAUAAGUCUCUUGAGAAAUCUGGCAGCUUAACUGUCAGGCUUUCAGGAGAUACUGUCUGGCUCGAGGCCGGGAGAGGUGAGAGGUACUUCAGGGGUAGGGGUGAAAUCUUGUAAUCCUUGAAGGACCACCAGUGGCGAAGGCGUCUCACCAGAACGGACCUGACGGCAAGGGACGAAAGCUAGGGGCACGAACCGGAUUAGAUACCCGGGUAGUCCUAGCCGUAAACGAUACUCGCUAGGUGUCGGCCACGGUGCGACCGUUGUCGGUGCCGUAGGGAAGCCGUGAAGCGAGCCACCUGGGAAGUACGGCCGCAAGGCUGAAACUUAAAGGAAUUGGCGGGGGAGCACCACAACGGGUGGAGCUUGCGGUUUAAUUGGAUUCAACGCCGGAAAUCUUACCGGGACCGACAGCAAUAUGAAGGCCAGGCUGAAGACUUUGCCGGAUUAGCUGAGAGGUGGUGCAUGGCCGUCGUCAGUUCGUACUGUGAAGCAUCCUGUUAAGUCAGGCAACGAGCGAGACCCA